AUUUGAGCUGUCCUCACAGGUAGGCUGCUUAACGCAUUAGUGGAUGAACUGCAUUCCAAUGUCCACACAAAGACAAUGCAAUAUAAAACUACAAGGAAGAACACAACCAUCUGAAUCACUUCCACGUAGCUGGGCACAUUUGGUUGGUUUUAUUGGAAGUUCAUUUUUUUCCGUCCAGGUGUCACUUCAACAAACACACACAAUCAACCAGCUCAGCUGUCAUCAAUCACAUGAUGGCUGUGUGCAGACUUUUUUUUGGUUUAAAGAAAUAUCGAUUGUGAGGGACGUUACCUAAUACUUUUGUGAAGAACACAACAUAUAACACGUUGAGGAGAAGAUAAAGAAAUUAACUAGAGAGAGGGUGAAACGCAGGGCUUGUUGAAGGUGACCCACAUACAUAUAUAUACGAAGCGGCUGCUGCUGUGAGCGAAAGAUAUCGAACAGCUAAUUGCUAAAAUAAGCGUAUGACCUAGAAAAUUGGCCUUAGUCGGACAUAAGGAAGAGAGUGUAGUAGCCGUAGAAGAGGAUGACGAUGCUUGAGAAGAGGCCAGCCGCACUUGGGACCACGGAGCACAUCGAGAUGGAGAUCUUCGCCUCGGAAGAGUCUCGCGCCGUGGUCUCCGUACAUGAUACCGAGGAGGGCUACUUCGGCUACUAUAGGCACCUAGAGCAUCCUCUGGUGUCCGUUUCUGAAGAGGAGUACCUAGAGGCCCAGGUCCAGAGCCCAGCUGAACAGCAAUUCAAGCUGAAGAGAGUGCUUUCUGUCGGGACAGAGGACUUGGAUGACUGCCCCCUGAUUCCAGACUUAAAGGAGGACAUGGAGAUUGAAAUGGAGGAAUUCCCUCCCUUCAACACGCCCGAGAGUGAGCAAGUAUUAAAAACAUCAGCCCUCCCUUCCUUCAAAACACUACCGUUUCCCGCCGUGGCUUCUCUCAACCAAGUCACCAAAGUCAAAUGGAGCCAAGUAGACCAUCAGAGGACUGGACUGGUAGUUAAAGACGUCAUCUGUCUACCCAGAGGACACCUCCUGGCCCAUCCCGACCGAAAGAACUUUCCUCUGGGGGUUGCCAUGGAAAGAUGUGGUGAGACCCAGCCGGUGGAAGGGAACCUGCCUCCGGAACACAGCCACAAGAUAGAUCUGGACUUCGCCCUGAAGAAGUUCAGACGACACGCCGUGGAUCCGAGCCUCCAUCUCCUGGUCACCCCGAGUUGGAAGGAGCCGCUCCUCAGUGCGUUGAGGAUGUUGGGCAGUCCAGGCUUCUGCUUCAGAGCCUCCCCAGUCAUUUCUUUGUGUGACACAGAGCGAGAAGCUGGCGGACACCAUCUCGACCUCAGAGAGUUCUUCAGCUAA
RNAcentral lists this long non-coding RNA (1351 nucleotides) under Gadus morhua (Atlantic cod). RNAcentral describes it as "lncRNA (ENSGMOG00000031850.1)". The record is from RNAcentral. Lineage: Eukaryota; Metazoa; Chordata; Actinopteri; Gadiformes; Gadidae.